GCCAUCUUAGCUCAGCAGUAGAGCACAUGGCUCUUAACCAUGUGGUCGUGGGGUUCAUUCCCCACAGAUGGCG
This is a non-coding RNA of Mangifera indica (mango), 73 nucleotides long. The record is from the annotation of a RefSeq genome assembly. Lineage: Eukaryota; Viridiplantae; Streptophyta; Magnoliopsida; Sapindales; Anacardiaceae.